GCACGAUGUGAUCCACCAGCUAGGAGGGAUGCCAAUAAGGCGUCCGAUAAGCAUGACUGGAGAAUCCUGGGAUUUCAAUGUCUUUCUAUCCUCAAUGUGGCUGGAAAAUGAAUCCUCCUAUCCUCAAUGUGACUGGAGAAUGAGUGCCUGAUCCUGACUACUGAAGACCCUGCUCCUGUCUUUUAUACCUCUCUAGUGCUGAGAUUAAAGACCUGUGAUCCCAGGUCCUGAGAUCGUC
Molecule: non-coding RNA, 238 nt
Organism: Cricetulus griseus (Chinese hamster)
Lineage: Eukaryota; Metazoa; Chordata; Mammalia; Rodentia; Cricetidae
Source: RefSeq, a predicted model, not a curated record